This 1015-nucleotide ribosomal RNA is filed under the name uncultured bacterium. RNAcentral describes it as "bacterial SSU rRNA". It matches the Rfam family "Bacterial small subunit ribosomal RNA", at positions 9 to 1070 of the family's 1533-position model. The record is from RNAcentral.
GAGUUUGAUCCUGGCUCAGAACGUACGCUGGCGGCACGCCUAACACAUGCAAGUCGAACGCAGUAGCAAUACUGAGUGGCAAACGGGUGAGUAUAAUGUGGGAAUCUGCCUUUUGGUUUGGAAUAACACGGGGAAACUUGUGCUAAUACCGAAUAAGCCCUUACGGGGAAAGUUUUAAUGCCGAAAGAUGAGCCCGCACUUGAUUAGCUAGUUGGUAAGGUAAAAGCUUACCAAGGCAACGAUCAAUAGCUGUUCUUAGAGGAAGACCAGCCACAUUGGGACUGAGACACGGCCCAGACUCCUACGGGAGGCAGCAGUGGGGAAUCUUGCACAAUGGGGGAAACCCUGAUGCAGCGAUGCCGCGUGAGUGAAGAAGGCCUUUGGGUUGUAAAACUCUUUCGUCGGGGAAGAAAAUGACUGUACCCGAAUAAGAAGGUCCGGCUAACUUCGUGCCAGCAGCCGCGGUAAUACGAAGGGACCUAGCGUAGUUCGGAAUUACUGGGCUUAAAGAGCUCGUAGGUGGUUAAAAUAGUUGAUGGUGAAAUCCCAAGGCUCAACCUUGGAACUGCCAUCAAAACUUUUUAGCUAGAGUGUGAUAGAGGUAAGUGGAAUUUCUAGUGUAGAGGUGAAAUUCGUAGAUAUUAGAAAGAACACCAAAUGCGAAGGCAACUUACUGGGUCACUACUGACACUGAGGAGCGAAAGCAUGGGUAGCGAAGAGGAUUAGAUACCCUCGUAGUCCAUGCCGUAAACGAUGUGUGCUAGACGUUGGAAAUAUAUUUUUCAGUGUCGCAGCGAAAGCAUUAAGCACACCGCCUGGGGAGUACGACCGCAAGGUUAAAACUCAAAUGAAUUUGACGGGGACCCGCACAAGCAGUGGAGCAUGUGGUUUAAUUCGAAGAUACGCGCAGAACCUUACCAACACUUGACAUGUUCGUCGCGAGCCUAGAGAUUNNCUUUCAGUUCGGCUGGACGAAACACAGGUGCUGCAUGGCUGUCGUCAGCUCGUGUCGUGA